RNAcentral lists this transfer RNA (80 nucleotides) under Pangasius djambal. RNAcentral describes it as "tRNA-Thr". Lineage: Eukaryota; Metazoa; Chordata; Actinopteri; Siluriformes; Pangasiidae. The record is from RNAcentral.
AGUCGUGGCCUAAUGGUUAGAGAGUCGGACUUGUAACCCGACGGUGAACCCGAAGGUCAUGGGUUCGAGUCUCAGGACUG